GACAGAGGGUGCAAACGUUGUUCGGAAUUACUGGGCGUAAAGCGCGUGUAGGCGGCCCGGAAAGUCGGAUGUGAAAGCCCUGGGCUUAACCUAGGAAGUGCAUUCGAAACUCCCGGGCUUGAGUUCUGGAGAGGAAGGCGGAAUUCUCGGUGUAGAGGUGAAAUUCGUAGAUAUCGAGAGGAACACCGGUGGCGAAGGCGGCCUUCUGGACAGUGACUGACGCUGAGACGCGAAAGCGUGGGGAGCAAACAGG
Molecule: ribosomal RNA, 253 nt
Filed under: uncultured bacterium
Lineage: Bacteria
Description: partial 16S ribosomal RNA
Rfam family: Bacterial small subunit ribosomal RNA
Source: RNAcentral